This is a long non-coding RNA of Amblyraja radiata (thorny skate), 188 nucleotides long. RefSeq lists it as uncharacterized. The record is from RefSeq and is a predicted model, not a curated record. NCBI's taxonomy places the organism in Eukaryota, Metazoa, Chordata, Chondrichthyes, Rajiformes, Rajidae. The transcript is spliced from 3 exons.
GCUCUUCCAUCUGGCAUUUUGAUUCAGACAUUUAUCACAGAUGGGAGAGAUAUUUGGAUAGAUUUUAUUCAGUCUUGUUUUCGAGUAGUAUAAUCUAUGUAAAAUUUUAAAUUGAAUUAAAUUAUGUUUUGCAUUAAUCGAACAUUUAUGUAUGUAUAUCAGGUAUGUUUCCCAUGUUUCUUUCGAAA